Molecule: ribosomal RNA, 497 nt
Filed under: uncultured bacterium
Lineage: Bacteria
Description: partial 16S ribosomal RNA
Rfam family: Bacterial small subunit ribosomal RNA
Source: RNAcentral
GAUGAACGCUGGCGGCGUGCCUAAUACAUGCAAGUCGAGCGAACGGACGAGAAGCUUGCUUCUCUGAUGUUAGCGGCGGACGGGUGAGUAACACGUGGAUAACCUACCUAUAAGACUGGGAUAACUUCGGGAAACCGGAGCUAAUACCGGAUAAUAUUUUGAACCGCAUGGUUCAAAAGUGAAAGACGGUCUUGCUGUCACUUAUAGCUGGAUCCGCGCUGCAUUAGCUAGUUGGUAAGGUAACGGCUUACCAAGGCAACGAUGCAUAGCCGAACUGAGAGGGUGGUCGGCCACACUGGAACUGAGACACGGUCCAGACUCCUACGGGAGGCAGCAAUAGGGAAUCUUGCGCAAUGGGCGGAAGCCUGACGGAGCAACGCCGCGUGAGUGAUGAAGGUCGUCGGAUCGUAAAACUCUGUUAUUAGGGAGGAACAUAUGUGUAAGUAACUGGGCGCAUCUUGACGGUACCUAAUCAGAAAGCCACGGCUAACUACGUG